RNAcentral lists this unclassified non-coding RNA (205 nucleotides) under fungal sp. Its description in RNAcentral is "partial internal transcribed spacer region". The stretch from base 1 to 46 matches the Rfam family "Eukaryotic small subunit ribosomal RNA", at positions 1786 to 1831 of the family's 1831-position model. The record is from RNAcentral. Lineage: Eukaryota; Fungi.
AAGUCGUAACAAGGUUUCCGUAGGUGAACCUGCGGAAGGAUCAUUCUUGAUAUAUAAGCGUAAGCUUACUAAUUUAUGUGCACUGUUACCGUCAAAUUGGCGGCCGAAAGGCUGUCAGUCUGGCAUAUUAUUUACAUACUAUUAAUUCAUUUUACCUUAAAAAUUUUCUAUUAGACAACUUUUAGCAAUGGAUCUCUAGGCUCUC